This 72-nucleotide transfer RNA is filed under the name Myotis davidii. It matches the Rfam family "tRNA". Rfam says of the family: Transfer RNA (tRNA) molecules are approximately 80 nucleotides in length. Their secondary structure includes four short double-helical elements and three loops (D, anti-codon, and T loops). The record is from Rfam by way of RNAcentral. Lineage: Eukaryota; Metazoa; Chordata; Mammalia; Chiroptera; Vespertilionidae.
GCCGAUGUGGCUCAGUGGUUAGAGCGUCAGUCUGAGGACUGAGGGUCCCAGGUUUGAUUCCAGUCAAGGGCA